Molecule: long non-coding RNA, 696 nt
Filed under: Olea europaea subsp. europaea
Lineage: Eukaryota; Viridiplantae; Streptophyta; Magnoliopsida; Lamiales; Oleaceae
Source: RNAcentral
GUUUUGCCAGAAGGAUCUUUAUCACUCUAUUUUAAAUCCAAUAAUUCCUCAGUAGCGAAGAUUACAAGCAAACAGGAUGAACUGUGGGAGGACAGUAAGAAGUUAUAGUGAUGAUUAUUCAGUAAGCAUAUCUAGUGACUUCCCCAAUGACACGAAAUGCACGCCGUGGUGGAAAAAUAUGGGUCCUUAUAUUUUCAGACAAACCAGUUACAGUAAGACACGCUGAAACACGUAUGGGUUCGGGAAAGGGAUCCCCUGAAUAUUGGGUAGUUGUUAAACCAGGUCGAAUACUAUACGAAAUGGGUGGAGUAACCGAAAAUAUAGCUAGAAGGGCUAUUACAAUAGUAGCAUCCAAAAUGCCUAUACGAACUCAAUUCAUUAUUUCAGGAUAAAAAUGUAGAACCAACAGAAAUGAAUCUUGGGGAUGAAAGUUUCUUUUUUUGGACAAAAAAAUAUUCCUUUUUUUCUUCAUCCUUUGCAUUGGAAGAAUAGACUAAAAAAUUGAUAUGAUUCAACCUCAGACCCAUUUAAAUGUAGCAGAUAACAGCGGGGCUCGAGAAUUGAUGCGUAUUNAAUUGUCGAUAUGCUCAUAUUGGUGACGUUAUUGUUGCUGUGAUCAAAGAAGCACUACCAAAUAUAACCCUCGUGUUAGCCAAGAUUGGGAUCACUAGUCGCACAGCUGUCCCUCUAACUGCA